CAGUCGCCGCGGGAAUACAGAGGGUGCGAGCGUUAAUCGGAUUUACUGGGCGUAAAGCGUGCGUAGGCGGCUUUUUAAGUCGGAUGUGAAAUCCCUGAGCUUAACUUAGGAAUUGCAUUCGAUACUGGGAAGCUUGAGUAUGGGAGAGGAUGGUAGAAUUCCAGGUGUAGCGGUGAAAUGCGUAGAGAUCUGGAGGAAUACCGAUGGCGAAGGCAGCCAUCUGGCCUAAUACUGACGCUGAGGUACGAAAGCAUGGGGAGCAAACAGGAUUAGAUACCCCUGUAGUCCCUGUCUCUUAUAA
This 301-nucleotide ribosomal RNA is filed under the name uncultured bacterium. RNAcentral's name for it is "partial 16S ribosomal RNA". It matches the Rfam family "Bacterial small subunit ribosomal RNA", at positions 509 to 809 of the family's 1533-position model. The record is from RNAcentral.